GACGAACGCUGGCGGCGUGCUUAACACAUGCGAGUCGUACGGUAAGGCCCUUUCGGGGGUACACGAGUGGCGAACGGGUGAGUAACACGUGAGUAACCUGCCCACAACUUUGGGAUAACGCUAGGAAACUGGUGCUAAUACUGGAUAUGUGCUCCUGCUGCAUGGUGGGGGUUGGAAAGCUCCGGCGGUUGUGGAUGGACUCGCGGCCUAUCAGCUUGUUGGUGGGGUAGUGGCCUACCAAGGCGGCGACGGGUAGCCGGCCUGAGAGGGUGACCGGCCACAUUGGGACUGAGGUACGGCCCAGACGCCUACGGGAGGCAGCAGUGGGGAAUAUUGCACAAUGGGCGCAAGCCUGAUGCAGCAACGCCGCGUGCGGGAUGACGGCCUUCGGGUUGUAAACCGCUUUCAGCAGGGACGAAGCUUUUUGUGACGGUACCUGCAGAAGAAGCACCGGCUAACUACGUG
This 465-nucleotide ribosomal RNA is filed under the name uncultured bacterium. RNAcentral's name for it is "partial 16S ribosomal RNA". It matches the Rfam family "Bacterial small subunit ribosomal RNA", at positions 28 to 507 of the family's 1533-position model. The record is from RNAcentral.